This 209-nucleotide small nuclear RNA is filed under the name Gopherus evgoodei (Goodes thornscrub tortoise). RNAcentral's name for it is "U4 spliceosomal RNA (ENSGEVG00005004778.1)". The stretch from base 1 to 159 matches the Rfam family "U4 spliceosomal RNA". Rfam says of the family: U4 small nuclear RNA (U4 snRNA) is a component of the major U2-dependent spliceosome. The structure of U4 snRNA from yeast and human has been reported. The record is from RNAcentral. Lineage: Eukaryota; Metazoa; Chordata; Testudines; Testudinidae.
AGCCAUAUAUUAUUAGCAGUAUCGUAGCCAAUGAGGUUAAUCUGAGGCGCGAUUAUUGCUAAUUGAAAACUUUUCCUCUGCUCCCAAAUCUGUGCACACCCACCCUCCACACACACGUAGUAUAGUGUGUUCCUGACUGAAUUCCUGCAUAACCCUGGAAAAAUCACUUCAAAACAUCAACUUGAAAUCUAAUCAUUUUCAAAAUGUGU